This 253-nucleotide ribosomal RNA is filed under the name uncultured bacterium. RNAcentral's name for it is "partial 16S ribosomal RNA". It matches the Rfam family "Bacterial small subunit ribosomal RNA", at positions 524 to 776 of the family's 1533-position model. The record is from RNAcentral.
UACGGAGGGAGCUAGCGUUAUUCGGAAUUACUGGGCGUAAAGCGUACGUAGGCGGCUUUGCAAGUUAGAGGUGAAAGCCUGGAGCUCAACUCCAGAACUGCCUUUAAAACUGCAUCGCUUGAAUCCAGGAGAGGUGAGUGGAAUUCCGAGUGUAGAGGUGAAAUUCGUAGAUAUUCGGAAGAACACCAGUGGCGAAGGCGACUCGCUGGACAGGUAUUGACGCUGAGGUGCGAAAGCGUGGGGAGCAAACAGG